GACGAACGCUGGCGGCGUGCCUAAUACAUGCGAGUUGAGCGCUGAAGGUUGGUACUUGUACCGACUGGAUGAGCAGCGAACGGGUGAGUAACGCGUGGGGAAUCUGCCUUUGAGCGGGGGACAACAUUUGGAAACGAAUGCUAAUACCGCAUAAAAACUUUAAACACAAGUUUUAAGUUUGAAAGAUGCAAUUGCCUCACUCAAAGAUGAUCCCGCGUUGUAUUAGCUAGUUGGUGAGGUAAAGGCUCACCAAGGCGAUGAUACAUAGCCGACCUGAGAGGGUGAUCGGCCACAUUGGGACUGAGAAACGGCCCAAACUCCUACGGGAGGCAGCAGGAGGGAAUCUUCGGCAAUGGACGAAAGUCUGAACGAGCAACGCCGCGGGAGUGAAGAAGGGUUUCGGAUCGUAAAACUCUGUUGGUAGAGAAGAACGUUGGUGAGAGUGGAAAGCUCAUCAAGUGACGGUAACUACACAGAAAGGGACGGCUAACUACGUG
This 497-nucleotide ribosomal RNA is filed under the name uncultured bacterium. RNAcentral describes it as "partial 16S ribosomal RNA". It matches the Rfam family "Bacterial small subunit ribosomal RNA", at positions 28 to 507 of the family's 1533-position model. The record is from RNAcentral.